RNAcentral lists this transfer RNA (72 nucleotides) under Camelus bactrianus (Bactrian camel). It matches the Rfam family "tRNA". From Rfam's summary of the family: Transfer RNA (tRNA) molecules are approximately 80 nucleotides in length. Their secondary structure includes four short double-helical elements and three loops (D, anti-codon, and T loops). Further hydrogen bonds mediate the characteristic L-shaped molecular structure. tRNAs have two regions of fundamental functional importance: the anti-codon, which is responsible for specific mRNA codon recognition, and the 3' end, to which the tRNAs corresponding amino acid is attached (by aminoacyl-tRNA synthetases). tRNAs cope with the degeneracy of the genetic code in two manners: having more than one tRNA (with a specific anti-codon) for a particular amino acid; and 'wobble' base-pairing, i.e. permitting non-standard base-pairing at the 3rd anti-codon position. The record is from Rfam by way of RNAcentral. RNAcentral also lists the same sequence under 2 other names. Lineage: Eukaryota; Metazoa; Chordata; Mammalia; Artiodactyla; Camelidae.
GAGGGUAUAGCUCAGUGGUAGAGUUCUUGCUUAGCAUGCAUGAGGUCCUGGGUUUAAUCCCCAAUACCUCCA